AUUGAACGCUGGCGGCAUGCUUUACACAUGCAAGUCGAGCGGCAGCGCGGGGGCAACCCUGGCGGCGAGCGGCGAACGGGUGAGUAAUGCAUCGGAACGUAUCCUCGAGUGGGGGAUAACCCAGCGAAAGUUGGGCUAAUACCGCAUGAGCUCUGAGGAGGAAAGCGGGGGACCUGCGAGGGCCUCGCGCUGGAGGAGCGGCCGAUGUCCGAUUAGCUAGUUGGUGGGGUAAAGGCUUACCAAGGCGACGAUCGGUAGCUGGUCUGAGAGGAUGAUCAGCCACACUGGGACUGAGACACGGCCCAGACUCCUAAGGGAGGCAGCAGUGGGGAAUUUUGGACAAUGGGGGCAACCCUGAUCCAGCCAUGCCGCGUGAGUGAAGAAGGCCUUCGGGUUGUAAAGCUCUUUCGGACGGAACGAAAUGGGCGGGACUAAUACUCCUGUCUGAUGACGGUACCGUAAGAAGAAGCACCGGCUAACUACGUG
Molecule: ribosomal RNA, 486 nt
Filed under: uncultured bacterium
Lineage: Bacteria
Description: partial 16S ribosomal RNA
Rfam family: Bacterial small subunit ribosomal RNA
Source: RNAcentral